This 400-nucleotide ribosomal RNA is filed under the name uncultured bacterium. RNAcentral's name for it is "bacterial SSU rRNA". It matches the Rfam family "Bacterial small subunit ribosomal RNA", at positions 35 to 433 of the family's 1533-position model. The record is from RNAcentral.
GAAUAAAGAGCUGGAGGGGUGCGUGCCGCAGGCAAGUCGGGCGCCCUUUGGUUAGGACCAGGAGGAGUGGGUGGACGGGGUGAGUUGCACGUGGGUACCUACCGCGCGGGUGAGGAAUACCGGCGAGAAAUGGCCGACAAGUACCGCAUACGCUUCUCACCGAAGCAAAGCUCCGCAAGGAGCGCCUGGGGAUGGGCCUGCGGCCGAUUAGCUGGUUGGUGGGGUAAGGGCUCACCAAGGCGACGAUCGGGUAGCUGGUCUGAGAGGAUGAUCGGCCACACUGGGAUUGAGAACGGCCCAGACUCCUACGGGGGGCAGCAGUGAGGAAUUUUCGGCAAUGGGCGCAAGCCUGAUCCAGCAAUGCCGCGUGAGUGAAGAAGGCCUUCGGGUUGUAAAGCUC